GGACGGGUGAGUAACGCGUAAAGAACUUGCCUCACAGCUAGGGACAACAUUUGGAAACGAAUGCUAAUACCUAAUAUUAUAAUAAUAGGGCAUCCUAUAAUUAUGAAAGCUAUAAGCGCUGUGAGAGAGCUUUGCGUCCCAUUAGCUAGUUGGAGAGGUAACGGCUCACCAAGGCGAUGAUGGGUAGCCGGCCUGAGAGGGUGAUCGGCCACGAGGGGACUGAGACACGGCCCUUACUCCUACGGGAGGCAGCAGUGGGGAAUAUUGGACAAUGGACCAAGAGUCUGAUCCAGCAAUUCUGUGUGCACGAUGAAGUUUUUCGGAAUGUAAAGUGCUUUCAGUUGGGAAGAAAGAAAUGACGGUACCAACAGAAGAAGUGACGGCUAAAUACGUGCCAGCAGCCGCGGUAAUACGUAUGUCACGAGCGUUAUCCGGAUUUAUUGGGCGUAAAGCGCGUCUAGGUGGUUAUAUAAGUCUGAUGUGAAAAUGCAGGGCUCAACUCUGUAUUGCGUUGGAAACUGUAUAACUAGAGUACUGGAGAGGUAAGCGGAACUACAAGUGUAGAGGUGAAAUUCGUAGAUAUUUGUAGGAAUGCCGAUGGGGAAGCCAGCUUACUGGACAGAUACUGACGCUGAAGCGCGAAAGCGUGGGUAGCAAACAGGAUUAGAUAUCCUGGUAGUCCACGCCGUAAACGAUGAUUACUAGGUGUUGGGGGUCGAACCUCAGCGCCCAAGCAAACGCGAUAAGUAAUCCGCCUGGGGAGUACGU
Molecule: ribosomal RNA, 768 nt
Filed under: uncultured Fusobacterium sp.
Lineage: Bacteria; Fusobacteriati; Fusobacteriota; Fusobacteriia; Fusobacteriales; Fusobacteriaceae
Description: bacterial SSU rRNA
Rfam family: Bacterial small subunit ribosomal RNA
Source: RNAcentral